Pantherophis guttatus is the source of this 567-nucleotide long non-coding RNA. RefSeq lists it as uncharacterized. The record is from RefSeq and is a predicted model, not a curated record. Lineage: Eukaryota; Metazoa; Chordata; Lepidosauria; Squamata; Colubridae.
UCUUCAGAACAUAAUUGCUUUCUCUAGUGAAUUCCCCCACAUGACCAGGCCAAAAUAAGCGAGACAUCAUUUUUUGUUUUUGCCUUCCAGUGACAUGUCUGGUGUUAUGAACUCCAGUGCUUGCUUGUUGGUCACUUUUGCUGCCCAAGGAAUACACAGGUACCUUCUCCAGCAUCAUGGCUCAAAGGAGUCUAUUUUCUUCCCGUCUUUCUUUUUGAAGGUCCAACUUUCACAACCAUAGGUAGCUACGGGGAACACGAUAGAGCUGACUAACCUACAUUUGGCCAAAAGAUGGUGAUGUUUAGAUACCCACAAGAGCAAAGAACAAUAUGGAUGAAGGAACAAACCUGAAGACUUCCCAUCUCCCAUCUGUUUCCAUAUCACAGUCUCCUGGCUGGUACCUUCUUACCGAUGCUCCUGUUGAACAUAAGAGACAGAGACAGAAAGAGAAAGACAGAGAGACAGAGACAGAGAGGCACAGACAGAGACAGAGAGAGAAUCAAAUAGACUGGGCUGCUUUAAAUAUUGCUGUCUGUAAUAAACAUGUAGACUGACUUGAUCAAUUAA